Molecule: long non-coding RNA, 781 nt
Organism: Coffea eugenioides
Lineage: Eukaryota; Viridiplantae; Streptophyta; Magnoliopsida; Gentianales; Rubiaceae
Exons: 5
Source: RefSeq, a predicted model, not a curated record
CCAGAAGGAGUCAGCCCUCCACCUUGUCCUCCACCUCGACGGUGGCGCCAAGAAGCGCAAGAAGAACACCUGCACCAAGCCGGCGGUGACUGAGGGAAAUUCUCCCCCCCUUUUUUAUAAACUUUAUUGUUACUAGUCUAAUUGAACAUUAGCAGCAUGUUCUUAUUUUGAAGAUUUGGAGGUUUCUGUGGGAAGCUUGUCGAGACACUACUUUAAUCAUCUUGAUGGUAGCUGCGGCUGCUUCUUUGGCCCUUGGGAUAAAGACAGAGGGUAUAAAAGAAGGAUGGUAUGAUGGUGGAAGUAUCGCGUUGGCUGUCUUUAUCGUCAUUGUUGUAACAGGUUGGAUUUUCUGUUAACGGAGUAAUAAUACUAACUUUUAUGUGGGUUUUGAAGGCAUUCCUUGAGGACGAUGGAAGGUAACUUUGGUCCGGAUCUUCUUGGCUUUCUUCUUAAAAGUUGUCCCAGAUUUGACAAAUUUGGCAACCUUGGCUGCCUGAGCCUUUGUAUCAAGCUUUUUUGUGGUGUCAGCUUUAGGAGCCAUUGCUGGAAACUGCCUUACAAAUCUUUUACCUGAGGGGAGGAGCCGAGUGUUGAGGGGAGGAGCUGAGUGUUGCUGAAGCGGCUCUGUGUUGAAAUUUGGGACUUGGAUUUGUUUUGUAAAGCUACCUCGAGUUAUAUGUGAAAUUUAGGCCAAAUACCACUUAUCAAACUAUCUAUAGGGUGUUGUUGAACUUCAUUAUGAUAUUUGAAUGCUUAUAUGAUAUUUUGACAUUUCGUAAUG